UAUUAAAAUGGUGAAUUUUAUGUUACAUACAUUUUAAUGUACAUGUUAUGUACAUUUUUUCUUCCAUACAUUUUUGGAAGAAAAGAAAGAUUCUUCCAAGAUUCCUGGAGCACCUCAUCAGGCUGUGUUUUCAUUGCAGAGUUAGAGUCUUAUCCUAUUUAUAAUUGAAGAAUUUAAUACUUACCCCCAAUCACCUCCAGGUCAGGUGAGGUCAGACUGGAGGCAAAGGCUUGGCAUCUACCACACCCUCUGUCUCCUCUUCAGCUCAAUCAUAGUGGCCCCAUGGUGGAGUCCUCCCAGCUGAAACUCUUGACAGCUAGGAAAAUCCAUGCUGCACUCUGGUCUUGCUAUCCUUUUCUAAUCUUUGUAAAAAUAAACUGGGAUGAGCUUCCUUCCUUGAACCUCCUCCAGCUCACUAAGGACAGAGUGUUCACCUGACUCCUCUCCCAUCCCCUCCUAUGAGGCACUGGGGUACGCUGGGGCUGUCGCCUGGUUAGGUGACCUCUUUACAUUU
This 514-nucleotide long non-coding RNA is filed under the name Homo sapiens (human). Its description in RNAcentral is "non-protein coding lnc-HSCB-6:1". The record is from RNAcentral. Lineage: Eukaryota; Metazoa; Chordata; Mammalia; Primates; Hominidae.